CCCUGCCAUUUGUACACACCGCCCGUCGCUACUACCGAUUGAAUGGCUUAGUGAGGCCUUGGGAUCGUGGUCCGUUCAGCAAUGGAUUGGCCGUGAGAACUUGUCCAAACUUGGUCAUUUAGAGGAAGUAAAAG
RNAcentral lists this ribosomal RNA (134 nucleotides) under uncultured eukaryote. RNAcentral describes it as "partial small subunit ribosomal RNA". It matches the Rfam family "Eukaryotic small subunit ribosomal RNA", at positions 1651 to 1788 of the family's 1831-position model. The record is from RNAcentral.